UAUGUGAUCGUCUCUCGCAUAUCAAUAAGCGGAGGAAAAGAAACUAACAAGGAUUCCCCUAGUAACGGCGAGUGAAGCGGGAAGAGCUCAAAUUUGAAAUCUUAAAGGGUUUCCCUUUACGAAUUGUAGUUUAAAGAAGUGUUUUCUGUUGAGGUUUUGGUAAAAGUUCUUUGGAAUAGGACAUCAUAGAGGGUGAGAAUCCCGUAUUUGACCUUUACUUUCAACUUUGUGAUACACUUUCAAAGAGUCGGAUUGUUUGGGAAUGCAGUCCAAAAUGGGUGGUAAAUUUCAUCUAAGGCUAAAUAUUGGCGAGAGACCGAUAGCGAACAAGUACCGUGAGGGAAAGAUGAAAAGAACUUUGAAAAGAGAGUUAAACAGUACGUGAAAUUGUCAAAAGGGAAGCGUUUGACACCAGUGUUGUUUUUCUGAAAAUCAAUUAAAGAACUGUUUAUGCUAAGUUGUUUAGACUUUAUCAGCUAUCUGUUUAGUUUUGAGCUUUUCUUUAAUGCACUUUUCAGUUAACAAGUCAACAUCAAUUUCUUUUGCUGUAAAAAAGCUUGAGGAAGGUGGCUUGAGAUUCGUCUUAAGUGUUUAUAGCCUCUUGCCUAUGCAGUCGGAGAGAUUGAGGUCUGCAGCGUAGAUCCUUCGGGGCUAAAUGCAUUUGUGCUAAGUUAUAGCAUUUCAUAGACAACUUGUUGACUAUGAUUUGUCUUGUAGCUUACUCGCUUAUGUUAUUUUACCUACGCUUAGGAUGUUGAAGACUCUACAGAGAUA
Molecule: ribosomal RNA, 774 nt
Filed under: uncultured Neocallimastigales
Lineage: Eukaryota; Fungi; Neocallimastigomycota; Neocallimastigomycetes; Neocallimastigales
Description: partial large subunit ribosomal RNA
Rfam family: Eukaryotic large subunit ribosomal RNA
Source: RNAcentral